UGGCAUGGCAGUGUUACAGGAGCAGAGUCUGAAGAGAGUGUGGUUUUCGCAGCGCCUCCAUGUUGCCCACCUCCCUGGCCUCACUGGGGCUCUGCCAAGUGAACUCCAGGCAUCAGAUUCCAAAUUUUCAGGUAUGUCUGUGUAUCAUGUGUGUGCUGAUGCCAUGGAGCCAGAAGAGGACGUCGGAUCCCCUGGGGCUGGAGUUAUG
RNAcentral lists this long non-coding RNA (208 nucleotides) under Mus musculus (house mouse). RNAcentral's name for it is "lincRNA-EC290". Lineage: Eukaryota; Metazoa; Chordata; Mammalia; Rodentia; Muridae. The record is from RNAcentral.